CCCUCUCCCAAUACUAGGGACCUUAAGCAUGUACGACGGCAACGCCACGACGACAGCCAAAACAACUUCUUCAUAUAAAUUAUUGCGAAGAGGAGUUGUUGUGUAUUAUCCACUGCAUGCAUGUAUAUAUGAACUGAGUUCAGUUUGAAGAGAUUAAAACAAAGGCUUUAUGGUUAAAAACGCUUUUACUGAGCAAAUUUGUAGUUUCACUUGUCGCGUCUUGACAUGUUUGCGUUGUACACGAGACGUGAAAAUCUCUGGUUUGCCGUUGUAAAAAGCCCUAACACAACGCCUCUAACUCCCGUGGGGCUUUUAAUUAUUCAUUUCUUUUGUACGAGAUCAGGAAUAUCAUUGUGUGAAUAACCGUCGUCGCCGCGUUGCCGUCCUGUUUGCUUAAGGUCCCUACUG
Paramuricea clavata is the source of this 408-nucleotide non-coding RNA. The record is from the annotation of a GenBank genome assembly. Lineage: Eukaryota; Metazoa; Cnidaria; Anthozoa; Malacalcyonacea; Plexauridae.